GGGGGCUGGAGUGUGCCACAGCCUUGUAAUGGGUGAAAGUCAAGGAGGUGAGGAGUUUUCUGCAAGCAAUGAAGAACAAGGGUGCCGCUCCAAGAGCUAAGAGUGCCUCCACAUUGAGAAAUGCAGCUCACAGGUUUUCCUCCACAUUACAUUUAAUGAAUGUGUACCACGUGCCCAGAGAUACAAGCAGGAGGAAACAAAAAAAAAGAUAAGGCCCAUGGAUGACCUGAUCAGCAGAGAAUAAUUGCCAUAUGGAAUGAUAAUCGUCCUAACGAAGGGAGAUACAGGGAACACAGCCACGUCCGUUUAUGGAGGUAUUAUGCACGGCCACGCUGGCAGACGACAAGAGUUAGGGCAGACGCUGGAUGGCUCAGAAUGUCUACAACGUUCACGAACUGCUCCUUUGUAGAAAAGGUUUGCUCACUUCUGCUUUUUGCCAGCGUUUCUCAAACUUCAACGUGCGUACCCACCACCUGGGUGCGGGGCGGAGGUGUUCAGUAAAUUCAGAUCCUGUUUUAGGCCGGUCUGCAGUAGGGCCUGAGUCUCCAUGUCUAAUAAGCGACUUGGCGAUGCUGAUGCUACUGGGCCUCGACCACACUGUCAACAGUGGGCAUCUACUCCACUCCUCAAAGUGUGGACCCCAACCAAGGGCAAUCGGUAACGCCAGGGAACCCGUCAGCAGUGCAAAUACUCACGCCCCACCCAGACCUACUGGAUCUUGUUUCAACAAGCCUCCCAGGUGAUUCUGAUGUGGGCUCGAGUUGGAUCCGCACUGCUUUCCACCCCACUGCCUCCUGGGCGAGUUCAGACUCUGGGAGACAUGAAGUCGAGCCUGAUGAAAAACCCAGCGUCAGAAGGAACACACUUUGACACACCCUGAAAAUGCAAGACUUUCCUUAAACAUUCCACCUGUGACUCGAAUGAAGCUGAUAAUACUGUAAUAGAAAAGCUUCCCAUUUAUGAAAACGUGUGACUGCAGUUCACAGAAACCUCCCGUAAGAAUAUAUAUUCGCCAACAGGGCUGAGAAAUAACAGUCAUUAUUAGGACAGCAUUAAAAUAAUCAUGAUAUAAUUAAAAAUAUAAAGACAAAAAAAAAAUGAACCCGGGGGCAUGAUUCUUAACUAUAUAUUUUUUAAGUUUAUUUAUUUUGAGAGAGAGAGAGAGAGAGACAGUGUGAGUGGGGGAGAGGCAGAGAGAGAGGGAGAAAGAAUGCCAAGCAGGCUCUGCACUGUCAGCACAGAGCCGGAUGUGGGGCUCGAACUCAUGAAAUGGGGAGAUCAUGACCUGAGCUGAAGUCAGACACUCAACCCACUAAGCCACCCAG
Molecule: long non-coding RNA, 1325 nt
Organism: Neofelis nebulosa (Clouded leopard)
Lineage: Eukaryota; Metazoa; Chordata; Mammalia; Carnivora; Felidae
Exons: 3
Source: RefSeq, a predicted model, not a curated record